GAGAGAGAGGUGAGAACUGAGAAACCUAAUUAGAUUUGAGAAACAGUUCGACUGCGGUAUGGCCGUCUGGGAGUGCGAUAGAGACGGCGUCAUAGCGACUUCACGACCUCGGCGCCGACAACUCUCAAGUGUGACUGCUGGUUUUCUCAUUUUUUAACUUUAUUCUUCAAUCUUCAAUUCUUCAACAGGUUCAUAACUUUUCAUUCUUCAAUCUUCAGUUUUUUAUAAUAAUUUAUGGUAGAUUAAUUAGUAAUUCUUGGAAUAAGAAAAACUCUUUGUGGAUCUAAGUUUUUCUUUUUCACAUUGUUUGUUGAUCUACUUGGUCACUGCAAACUUUUAGAGCUCAGUUGUGUAUUUUUCCGAUUCAAAUUGUAUGAAUAGGUUGAUUACAUGAGCUUCAUCCCUUCCUCUUCUGGCAUAUUUUGAUAGUUAGGAGUUUUAUCCCUUUCUCGGUGUAUGCAUUCCAGUGCCAUAAUGAGAAAUAUUUUGCAUAUUCGAACUUCAUAUACUCAUGACCACUAGUUAUCUCUAUAUGUGGAUAUAUGUAUAGGUUGAUUAAGGAAAUUUGAUCACGAUGUUCUGUCACUUAUUUUUUUUAAUGGCUAAUCUUUUCAUAAACAAGUUCUGGAAUAAGUGGUUGGAUCUCUCACAUAGUUUAGCCCUUCUCUCUUUUGUGUGCUUAUAUAUAUGUGCACUUUUAUGUAAAGUUCCUCACAGGAAUUUAAGGAGUAUUUCAUUCAUCUACUACUUAUUAUUGAUUCCAAGAGUAUCAUUAACUCAGUAAUUAGAGUGUAAAUUAAAGAGAGGAAUUGAUCUUAUAAGAGAAAGAUAUAUAUAAUGGAAAAGUGUUCAAUUCUAUGAGCAAGUUCUUAAUUUGUUAGCAUUAGUCUCAAUUUGUGUUUAUAUUUGUUUUAAUUUUGUAUAGAUGGUAGAUGAAAGUAAAGUAAGUGAUGCCGGUUCAACUGAAAGUUUACCUAUUAGUGAAGAUAGCAACACCAACACAAUUGAUAGCAACACCAACACAAUAGAUUUUUAUAAGUUUUGUUUAUAGAUUCUUUUAAUGUCUGAACAUAGGUAAAUACACUAACUGUAACGUAUAUUUGUUGAUUAUAUCAUUGAGAAUAGCAUAUUGCAACUAAAUAGUUCUCUUACUUCUUGGCAUCAUUUUGAAGAAUAUAAAGUGGAAAGAAACUUUUAGAUGCUGAGUCUUGGAUUCAUUUUGUUUUUAAAGCAUUUAAACAAAGAUUCAAAAUUUUGCAAGCCUGUCAGAUGUAUUGGAGUUGCUAAGUUUGUCGCCAACUUUGUUGCGCCUAAAACACAUCUAUUGCAGCAUGGUGCUGUCUUCAAUGGAGGCUUAAAGUUCGGCAUACAAUGCUGUGUUCAAAGAGCAGCCUUAUUUUGAUUGUUUUAGUUUCAAUCUCAUAAGAUCAAUUUGUUUGAUGUUCCAAACAACUAAAGUUAUAUAUUACUGUCUGCUUUUUCCUUUAGAUUCAAUUCUCAUGUUGUUUAUCUAAUGGUUCCC
RNAcentral lists this long non-coding RNA (1522 nucleotides) under Nicotiana tabacum (common tobacco). RNAcentral describes it as "long non-coding RNA (NTAB_LNC002602)". Lineage: Eukaryota; Viridiplantae; Streptophyta; Magnoliopsida; Solanales; Solanaceae. The record is from RNAcentral.